AGUGAACGCUGGCGGUAGGCCUAACACAUGCAAGUCGAACGGCAGCACAGUAAGAGCUUGCUCUUACGGGUGGCGAGUGGCGGACGGGUGAGGAAUACAUCGGAAUCUACUUUUUCGUGGGGGAUAACGUAGGGAAACUUACGCUAAUACCGCAUACGACCUACGGGUGAAAGCAGGGGAUCUUCGGACCUUGCGCGAUUGAAUGAGCCGAUGUCGGAUUAGCUAGUUGGCGGGGUAAAGGCCCACCAAGGCGACGAUCCGUAGCUGGUCUGAGAGGAUGGUCAGCCACACUGGAACUGAGACACGGUCCAGACUCCUACGGGAGGCAGCAGUGGGGAAUAUUGGACAAUGGGCGCAAGCCUGAUCCAGUCAUACCGCGUGGGUGAAGAAGGCCUUCGGGUUGUAAAGCCCUUUUGUUGGGAAAGAAAAGCAGCAGGUUAAUACCCCGCUGUUCUGACGGUACCCAAAGAAUAAGCACCGGCUAACUUCGUG
This 492-nucleotide ribosomal RNA is filed under the name uncultured bacterium. RNAcentral's name for it is "partial 16S ribosomal RNA". It matches the Rfam family "Bacterial small subunit ribosomal RNA", at positions 29 to 507 of the family's 1533-position model. The record is from RNAcentral.